Molecule: non-coding RNA, 26 nt
Filed under: Homo sapiens (human)
Lineage: Eukaryota; Metazoa; Chordata; Mammalia; Primates; Hominidae
Source: RNAcentral
UGGCCGCCAUGAGGAAAGCUGCUGCC